This 484-nucleotide ribosomal RNA is filed under the name uncultured bacterium. RNAcentral's name for it is "partial 16S ribosomal RNA". It matches the Rfam family "Bacterial small subunit ribosomal RNA", at positions 30 to 507 of the family's 1533-position model. The record is from RNAcentral.
AUUGAACGCUGGCGGCAGGCCUAACACGUGCAAGUCGAGCGGAUGAAGGGAGCUUGCUCCUGGAUUCAGCGGCGGACGGGUGAGUAAUGCCUAGGAAUCUGCCUGGUAGUGGGGGAUAACGUCCGGAAACGGGCGCUAAUACCGCAUACGUCCUGAGGGAGAAAGUGGAGGAUCUUCGGACCUCACGCUAUCAGAUGAGCCUAGGUCGGAUUAGCUAGUUGGUGGGGUAAAGGCCUACCAAGGCGACGAUCCGUAACCGGUCUGAGAGGAUGAUCAGUCACACUGGAACUGAGACACGGUCCAGACUCCUACGGGAGGCAGCAGUGGGGAAUAUUGGACAAUGGGCGAAAGCCUGAUCCAGCCAUGCCGCGUGUGUGAAGAAGGUCUUCGGAUUGUAAAGCACUUUAAGUUGGGAGGAAGGGCAGUAAGUUAAUACCUUGCUGUUUUGACGUUACCAACAGAAUAAGCACCGGCUAACUUCGUG